Molecule: ribosomal RNA, 492 nt
Filed under: uncultured bacterium
Lineage: Bacteria
Description: partial 16S ribosomal RNA
Rfam family: Bacterial small subunit ribosomal RNA
Source: RNAcentral
AGUGAACGCUGGCGGUAGGCCUAACACAUGCAAGUCGAACGGCAGCACAGUAAGAGCUUGCUCUUACGGGUGGCGAGUGGCGGACGGGUGAGUAAUACAUCGGAAUCUACUUUUUCGUGGGGGAUAACGUAGGGAAACUUACGCUAAUACCGCAUACGACCUACGGGUGAAAGCAGGGGAUCUUCGGACCUUGUGCGAUUGAAUGAGCCGAUGUCGGAUUAGCUAGUUGGCGGGGUAAAGGCCCACCAAGGCGACGAUCCGUAGCUGGUCUGAGAGGAUGGUCAGCCACACUGGAAGUGAGACAGGGUACAGACACCUACGGGAGGCAGCAGUGGGGAAUAUUAGGCAAUGGGCGAAAGCCUGAUACAGGCAUACCGCGUGAGUGAAGAAGGACUUCGGGUUGUAAAGCGCUGUAGUUGGGAAAGAAAAGAAGCAGGUUAAUACCCCGCUGUUAUGACGGUACCGAAAGAAUAAGCACCGGCUAACUUCGUG